UACGUAGGGGGCAAGCGUUAUCCGGAUUUAUUGGGCGUAAAGCGCGCGUAGGCGGCCGAUCGCGUCGGAUGUGAAAGCUCAGGGCUCAACCCUGAGAGGCCAUUCGAUACGGAUCGGCUAGAGGCAGGUAGGGGAGAAUGGAAUUCCUGGUGUAGCGGUGAAAUGCGCAGAUAUCAGGAGGAACACCGGUGGCGAAGGCGGUUCUCUGGGCCUGUUCUGACGCUGAGGUGCGAAAGCUGGGGGAGCAAACAGG
This 253-nucleotide ribosomal RNA is filed under the name uncultured bacterium. Its description in RNAcentral is "partial 16S ribosomal RNA". It matches the Rfam family "Bacterial small subunit ribosomal RNA", at positions 524 to 776 of the family's 1533-position model. The record is from RNAcentral.